UAGCAUGGAAUAAUGGAAUAGGACUUUGGUUUUAUUUUGUUGGUUUGAGGACCAGAGUAAUGAUUAAUAGGGAUAGUUGGGGGCAUUAGUAUUGAGAAGCUAGAGGUGAAAUUCGGGGAUUUUCUCAAGACUGACUAUUGCGAAAGCAUUUGCCAAGGAUGUUUUCAUUGAUCAAGAACGAAAGUUAGGGGAUCGAAGACGAUCAGAUACCGUCGUAGUCUUGACCAUAAACUAUGCCGACUAGGGAUCAGUGCACAGCAUUGGCACCUUAUGAGAAAUCAAAGUUUUUGGGUUCUGGGGGGAGUAUGGUCGCAAGAGUGAAACUUAAAGGAAUUGACGGAAGGGCACCACCAGGAGUGGAGCCUGCGGCUUAAUUUGACUCAACACGGGGAAACUCACCAGGUCCAGAUGAAAUAAGGAUUGACAGAUUGAGAGCUCUUUCUUGAUUUUUCUGGUGGUGGUGCAUGGCCGUUCUUAGUUGGUGGAGUGAUUUGUCUGCUUAAUUGCGAUAACGAACGAGACCUUAACCUGCUAAAUAGCCAGGCUAGCUUUGGCUGGUCGCUGGCUUCUUAGAGGGACUAUCGGCUCAAGCCGAUGGAAGUUUGAGGCAAUAACAGGUCUGUGAUGCCCUUAGAUGUUUUGGGCCGCACGCGCGCUACACUGACAGAGCCAACGAGUUCUUACCUUGGCCGAAAGGUCUGGGCAAUCUUGUUAAACUCUGUCGUGCUGGGGAUAGAGCAUUGCAAU
RNAcentral lists this ribosomal RNA (747 nucleotides) under uncultured eukaryote. RNAcentral describes it as "SSU rRNA". It matches the Rfam family "Eukaryotic small subunit ribosomal RNA", at positions 805 to 1590 of the family's 1831-position model. The record is from RNAcentral.